CUGCGCUGAUGACCACUUAGGACACCUUUGGAUGAACCAUGAAAACAAAACAUUAUUUCUGAGCAGC
RNAcentral lists this small nucleolar RNA (67 nucleotides) under Xyrichtys novacula (pearly razorfish). It matches the Rfam family "Small nucleolar RNA SNORD58". Rfam says of the family: snoRNA U58 is found in introns 1, 3 and 6 of the ribosomal protein RPL17 gene in humans. U58 is a member of the C/D class of snoRNA which contain C (UGAUGA) and D (CUGA) box motifs. Lineage: Eukaryota; Metazoa; Chordata; Actinopteri; Labriformes; Labridae. The record is from RNAcentral.